UGCAGCUGCAGUUCUGACCAAGUAAUCCAUGUGACGCAGGUUUGGGCCUGGCCAGUACUUGGAUGCGAGACCAACCAGGUAAACUGGGUUGCUGCUGGAA
RNAcentral lists this ribosomal RNA (100 nucleotides) under Paramormyrops kingsleyae. Lineage: Eukaryota; Metazoa; Chordata; Actinopteri; Osteoglossiformes; Mormyridae. The record is from RNAcentral.